RNAcentral lists this long non-coding RNA (538 nucleotides) under Homo sapiens (human). Its description in RNAcentral is "non-protein coding LINC01524:21". The record is from RNAcentral. Lineage: Eukaryota; Metazoa; Chordata; Mammalia; Primates; Hominidae.
ACCUGACGUGGCCUGAAGAGACAGACAGUGGCUCUUGCUAGCUAAUUAUUGUCAGAUGGAUCGGCAGCCGACCAACGCUUCUGAAACUAUUGUUUUUGGCAAAUGUUCCUCAACAUUUUCCUGGGAGCUAUGGUGCAUUACUCACGAGUGACAGAACCAACGAGCUUCAUCUCCCAAGAGGCUGGUGCAUCUGUUUAAAGGAGCAGGCACUAGGCAGAGCAGCCCCCACCCCACCCUCCAUGGCAGAGUGCAGUGGGGGAAGAAGUUUUCAUAGAAAUGCUUUCUAUAAAGCAUUUUCAUAGAGAAAGCAGGUUCAUAUAGAAAGCACUGGCUGCUGGUUGGAGUGGAGAGAUUGAAGACCCUCAUCUAGGAUCAAGCAACCCCCAGAAAACAAUUUUAAACAUGUCCAUUCAGACAAAAGGAGUCCAAAACCAUAAGAUCCUCUCAGCAUCCUGAACUAAUGUCCAGCUGUUAUCUCGGGAUGGGAUUUCACCAUGUUGUCCAAGCUGGUUUUGAACUCCUGGGGUCAAGAAAUCCA